Molecule: RNA transcript, 4111 nt
Organism: Heterocephalus glaber (naked mole-rat)
Lineage: Eukaryota; Metazoa; Chordata; Mammalia; Rodentia; Bathyergidae
Gene: Cdc16
Gene name: cell division cycle 16
Source: RefSeq, a predicted model, not a curated record
GUGCCGUGUGGCGGGCGCUGUGCGGUGGGCACCCGGAGACGCCAGGCGGCUGAGUUCUGGGGCGUGGGCUGCCCCCCAGGCGCGCGGCCAUGAACCUGGAGCGGCUUCGGAAGCGUGUGCGGCAGUACCUGGACCAACAACAGUAUCAAAGUGCUUUGUUUUGGGCAGACAAAGUAGCUUCGCUCUCUCAUGAGGAGCCCCAGGAUGUUUAUUGGUUGGCUCAGUGUCUUUAUCUGACAGCACAGUAUCACAGAGCAGCCCAUGCACUUCGGUCCCGAAAAUUGGACAAAUUGUAUGAAGCGUGUCGGUACCUUGCAGCCAGAUGUCAUUAUGCUGCAAAAGAGUAUCAGCAGGCUCUUGAUAUUCUUGAUAUGGAGGAACCAAUCAACAAAAGACUAUUUGAAAAAUACCUGAAGGAUGAAAGCAGCUUGAAAGACUCCUCCAGUGACUGGGAAAUGUCACAGUCCUCAAUAAAGAGUUCUAUUUGUCUUCUACGAGGGAAAAUCUAUGAUGCUCUAGAUAACCGAACCCUAGCUACCUACAGUUAUAAAGAGGCUUUAAAGCUUGAUGUCUACUGUUUUGAAGCAUUUGAUCUUUUAACAUCACAUCACAUGUUGACAGCACAAGAAGAAAAAGAACUUCUUGAGUCACUACCUCUUAGCAAGCUCUGUACUGAAGAACAGGAAUUACUACGUUUUCUGUUUGAGAACAAAUUAAAAAAGUAUAAUAAGCCUAGUGAAACUGUCAUCCCUGAGUCUGUAGAUGGCUUGCAAGAGAAUCUGGAUGUGGUAGUAUCGUUAGCUGAAAGACAUUAUUAUAACUGUGAUUUUAAGAUGUGCUACAAGCUUACAUCUGCAGUAAUGGAAAAAGAUCCUUUCCAUGCAAAUUGUUUACCUGUACACAUAGGAACGCUUGUGGAGCUGAAUAAAGCAAAUGAGCUUUUCUAUCUUUCUCACAAACUGGUGGAUUUAUAUCCUAGUAAUCCUGUGUCUUGGUUUGCAGUGGGAUGUUAUUAUCUCAUGGUUGGUCAUAAAAAUGAACAUGCCAGAAGAUAUCUCAGCAAAGCUACCACACUGGAGAAGACCUACGGACCUGCUUGGAUAGCCUAUGGGCAUUCGUUUGCUGUUGAGAGUGAGCAUGACCAGGCCAUGGCUGCCUACUUCACAGCAGCACAGCUAAUGAAAGGGUGUCAUCUGCCGAUGCUAUAUAUUGGAUUAGAAUAUGGUUUGACCAAUAACUCAAAACUGGCUGAAAGAUUCUUUGGUCAGGCUCUGAGCAUCGCACCAGAAGACCCUUUUGUCAUCCACGAGGUUGGUGUGGUUGCCUUUCAGAAUGGAGAAUGGAAAACAGCAGAAAAAUGGUUUCUCGAUGCUUUGGAAAAAAUUAAAGCAAUUGGAAAUGAGGUAACAGUUGACAAAUGGGAACCUUUGUUGAACAACUUGGGGCAUGUCUGCAGAAAACUUAAAAAGUAUGCUGAGGCAUUGGAUUACCACCGGCAGGCAUUGGUAUUAAUUCCUCAAAAUGCAUCUACCUAUUCUGCCAUAGGAUAUAUCCAUAGUCUGAUGGGCAACUUUGAGAAUGCUGUGGACUAUUUUCACACUGCCCUUGGUCUUAGACGAGAUGACACAUUUUCUGUUACAAUGCUUGGUCAUUGCAUCGAAAUGUACAUUGGUGAUUCUGAAGCUUAUAUUGGAGCAGAUAUUAAAGACAAAUUAAAAUGUUAUGACUUUGAUGUGCAUACAAUGAAGACACUAAAAAACAUUAUUUCACCUCCGUGGGAUUUCAGGGAAUUUGAAGUAGAAAAACAGACUGCAGAAGAAACGGGACUUGCACCACUGGAAAACUCCAGGAAAACUCCAGAUGCCAGGCCUUCCUUGGAAGAAACUUUUGAAAUUGAAAUGAAUGAAAGUGACAUGAUGUUAGAGACAUCUAUGUCAGACCACAGCACGUGACCGCAGACAGUGGUCCUGGGCCAGCCUGUGCUGGUGUAGGACCAGAGGCUGCCUUGAGAGACUGGAUAGCACACCUUGCAGCAGAUGUUCUGAGUCUCUGAAGUACAAAAUAGUUAUACCUAGUGGAAUAAAAAGGCACAUCUGAAAUCAGCCCUGGCAGACCUGACUGAAAUGGCCCAUUGGUUGGGCUCAAUUUCCUGGAUUUAUACAUUUGACUAUGAUUUAUUUUGUGAAAUAUUAACAUUUUUGUUUGUAAAGGGGUUACAUGAGACCGUUAUAAACACUUUAAUCUCUUCACUGAAAUAAGAAAAGGUAUCUUGGUAACUGCAUAAGUAGAAAACAGCCCACUCUUGUGGUCACUCUUAGCCCAUUUAUGCCAAAGAUUGACAUUUUUUGAAUUUUUGCAUGAGAUUCAUAUGUUACCUAGAAAAAUUCAAGGAAUAAGAAUUUGAAGAGAACACAUUUCAUUAUGUUCCACUGUUAAAUGCAUUGCAAAAAUGGAUCAUGAGGCAUUGAAGGGUUAAUACGGCUUAGGCUGUGUGUUUUGUUGACAGUCCUUUGUUUUAAACUCUUUAUAGUCUUAACCUCAGCAGAAACAUUGUUCUGUAUCUUCAUAGAAAAAGAAGUGUAGGCCUGGGGAUUUAGCUCAGUGGUUUUGCCGCCUGCUGCACAAGCGCAAGGACCCGAGUUUGAUCCCCGGUACCAAAACAAAAAGAAAAAGAAGUGUAAUUAUCUCAAAACAUUUAUACACAGUAUUGUUAUCAAAUAAGGUAUGAGAUAAAUUUUCCCACCAACUGAUAUGUUCCCUGGACACCAGACUUUUAAUCUUUACCUAUGUAAAAUGCCCCGUUCUGUGGCAGCUCAUCAACAGUGAAUGUUGGCCACUACCUUGGGCUUCAUGUGGUAAUGCACUAGUGUGUUUCUGAGUCUUCAUUUUUCUCUUUUAAUGGCUUUUCUAUUUCUUCUGUCAGGUAUGUGAUUAUUUUUAUGACUUCUCUUUAUAUAGCUGGGGCUAGAAAAUUUAAAUACUGAACUUGAAAUAAUGAAAAAUUAACUAAAGUGGAAGUAGUCUGCUAAUGAAGUGCUGAGCUUUUUCACAUUUAUUUGCCUGACAGAACAUUGAGCAUCUGUUACAGUUUCUUAGGUAUCUGGGUGAGUCUUACUAGUGAGACAUUAUUAAAUCGACAGUGUUUUAAGACCUGACUAAGCUGUAAUUCAGAUCAGCAAUAGUGUUAACACCAGUGCUCAAGCUUCAGAGUGUAAGAAAGUGAUGUGUCAUUGUACCACCAAAUAUUCUUUCUGUUAUACCCAGUUCUCCGGCAGCUCACAAUGAUGCAAUUUCCUUAAAAGAUUCUGGGUUCCCAGGCACUGGCCCCUCCCAAAAAACAGGUGUCCUAGCCAAUUGUAAAGUGGCUGUGCCAUCAUCUUCAAAGAAGAAACUGGGAAUCUUAUGGUCAUCAGCUCAAGUCACUGUCACCUACACUUAGAUAGGGGUUAUGGAGUAAAGCACACUCCCAGAGCCUAUCCAUGGACCGAGUAUUCAGUUAGGCAAAAGUAACAUUACUAUAUUCACCCUAUAUUUGGAGAUUUUCAAGCAGGUGUGUAUGUCCUACCUGUGGCCUGUAGGUUGGACACACCUAUGUUACAAUAAUAAUAAAAAAAUGUAGAGCCAGGAGUGAUGGUGCACACCUGUGAUCCCAGCACUCCAGAGGCUGAGGCAAGAGGAUCACCAUGAGUUCAAGGCCAGCCUGCACUCCACAGUGAGACCCUGUCUCAAAAAAAAAGGUUAGAAAUAAGGAAAGCUUUGUUAUUUAUAUACAUUAAUUAUAUAUUUUAUAUGCAUCUGAAGACAAUUCCUCUUCACUCAGUGUAAUCCAGGCAUAUCUGUCACAAGGCUACAGGUUAGACAUGUAAAGUUCUGAACAAAUACAAAACAAAACAUUUGAACAGGCUGGGUACUAUAGUAGAGGAAGCUGGAUUUUCUUUGUGUUAUAUGUUGCUUUUUCAUGUAAAAUCAUAAGCUACUUCUCCAAAUACAUAUCACAAGUUUUUAUUGAAGGAAUAAUCUGACAUAGAUGAUUUCUAAUACUGUCAUUUUGUGAAAUUUUUCAGAACUUUAUUUGCAAUAACAGGAAAUAAAAAAUUACAGGGGUCUUUAA